This 389-nucleotide ribosomal RNA is filed under the name uncultured Flavobacteriaceae bacterium. Its description in RNAcentral is "bacterial SSU rRNA". It matches the Rfam family "Bacterial small subunit ribosomal RNA", at positions 527 to 917 of the family's 1533-position model. The record is from RNAcentral. Lineage: Bacteria; Pseudomonadati; Bacteroidota; Flavobacteriia; Flavobacteriales; Flavobacteriaceae.
GGAGGGUCCAAGCGUUAUCCGGAAUUAUUGGGUUUAAAGGGUCCGCAGGCGGGCCAGUAAGUCAGAGGUGAAAGUUUGCGGCUUAACCGUAAAAUUGCCUUUGAUACUGCUGGUCUUGAGUUGCGGUGAAGUGGCCGGAAUAUGUGGUGUAGCGGUGAAAUGCAUAGAUAUCACAUAGAACACCGAUUGCGAAGGCAGGUCACUAACCGCCGACUGACGCUGAUGGACGAAAGCGUGGGGAGCGAACGGGAUUAGAUACCCCGGUAGUCCACGCCGUAAACGAUGGACACUAGCUGUCGGGCCAAUUUGGUUCGGCGGCCCAGCGAAAGUGAUAAGUGUCCCACCUGGGGAGUACGUCGGCAACGAUGAAACUCAAAUGAAUUGACGGA